RNAcentral lists this small RNA (106 nucleotides) under Marmota monax (woodchuck). Lineage: Eukaryota; Metazoa; Chordata; Mammalia; Rodentia; Sciuridae. The record is from RNAcentral.
GCCAGGCAUUGUGGCGCACACCUGUAAUCCUAGCUACCGGGGAGGCUGAGGCAGGAGGAUGACAAGUUCCAGGUCAGCCUGGCAACUCGGUGAGACACUGUUUCCA